AUGGCGCCGUCGUCGCACCGCGGCGGCCAGCCCCUCGACCUCGACGCCGCGCCCGUGCUCGACGACGACGGCCGCGUCGCCCGCACGGGGAACCUGUGGACGUGCGUGGCGCACAUCAUCACCGGCGUCAUCGGGGCCGGCGUGCUGGCGCUCUCCUGGAGCGUCGCGCAGCUCGGCUGGGUGGCCGGCCCCGUCGCCAUGGUCUGCUUCGCCGCCGUCACCUACGUCUCCGCCGUCCUGCUCUCCCACUGCUACCGGUCCCCCGCCCCCGCCGCCCCCGGUGGCUCGGACUUGCCGUCGUCCGAGGGGGACAAGACGCGGCGGAACUACACCUACAUGGGCGCCGUCCGGGCGCUCCUCGGCAGGAAGCACGCCUACGUCUGCGGCUCCCUCCAGUACCUCUACCUCUACGGGAUCGGCGUCGCCUACACCAUCACCACCGCCACCUGCCUCGGCGCGAUCAAGAAGGCCAACUGCUACCACGACCACGGGCGCGGCGCCGCCCGCUGCACCUCGGACGACCGCGAGCAGCACCUCUUCAUGCUGCUCUUCGGCGUCGCGCAGCUGGUGCUCUCCUUCAUCCCCAACUUCCACAGCAUGGCGUGGCUCUCCGUCGUCGCGGCCGUCAUGUCCUUCACCUACUCCACCAUUGGCCUCGGCCUCGGCCUCUCCAAGACCAUAGGCGACGGCGUGGUCCGAGGGAGCGUCGCCGGCGUGCCGAUGCACACCCCGAUGCAGAAGGUGUGGCGGGUGUCCCAGGCCAUCGGCGACAUCGCGUUCGCGUACCCGUACUCCAUCGUGCUGCUGGAGAUACAGGACACGCUGCGGUCGUCGCCGCCGGAGGGGGAGACGCUGAGGAAGGGGAACGUGAUCGCGAUGCUCGCCACCACCUUCUUCUACCUCUGCGUGGGCUGCUUCGGCUACGCGGCCUUCGGCGACGCCGCGCCGGGGAACCUGCUCACCGGCUUCGGCUUCUACGAGCCCUACUGGCUCGUCGACUUCGCCAACGCCUGCAUCGUGCUCCACAUCCUCGGCGGCUACCAGUUCUUCAGCCAGCAGAUCUUCACCGUCUGGGACCGCUGGCUGGCGGCGAGGUGCCCGGACAGCGCCUUCGUGUGCCGGACCUACGCAGUGAGGCUCGUGCCGGGCCUGCCGCGCUACGGGCUGAACCUGCAGCGGGUCUGCUUCCGGACGGCGUACGUGGCCAGCACCACGGCGCUGGCCGUGGUGUUCCCCUACUUCAACGAGGUGCUGGGCCUGCUCGGCGCGCUCAUCUUCUGGCCGCUCAUCAUCUACCUCCCCGUCGAGAUGUACUGCGUGCAGCGCCGUGUCCGGGCAUGGACGCCGACGUGGGUCGCGCUCCAGGCAUUCAGCGUCGCCUGCUUCGCCGUCGGGACCUUCGCAUUCGUCGGCUGCGUCCAGGGCGUCGUCCAAAAGAGGCUCGGCUCCUAG
Molecule: ribosomal RNA, 1452 nt
Filed under: Triticum aestivum (bread wheat)
Lineage: Eukaryota; Viridiplantae; Streptophyta; Magnoliopsida; Poales; Poaceae
Description: partial small subunit ribosomal RNA
Source: RNAcentral